Molecule: long non-coding RNA, 1808 nt
Organism: Ziziphus jujuba (common jujube)
Lineage: Eukaryota; Viridiplantae; Streptophyta; Magnoliopsida; Rosales; Rhamnaceae
Exons: 2
Source: RefSeq, a predicted model, not a curated record
AGCCCAAGUACUCAGCAGUUUACGGGGAAAAACUGUUCGACAAAAUCUAAAGGAAAGAAACAAUCAAGCUCCAUCACCAAGCCUCAUAACACGCAACGAUUGUGCUCCUUUCAACAGUCUAUGCCUUUAAGCUCCGAACCACCUCAUCAUCAAUUUGGGCUAAUGGGGUACAGUGCCAUUCACACUCAUGCCGUGGCAGCAUUCCAAUCUGCCCAGGCACAGUCUCAGACACCAUUAGCUGUCUCAUCCAUCUCAAAUACGGUGACUUCCAGUUCAGGCACUAAUAAUGCCACUUGCCGUAAUCAAACUCCAUAUCAAAUGCUCCCACCACAGCCUGCAAAUGCUUUCAUGCCUCUCAUGUAUUGGCCCCCUCCAAACACGUACCCUCCUGGACCUUAUACAUCUAGUUAUGGUGGCUAUAGAUCUUUCCCUUCUAGUGGAAAUUACAUUUCCAUUCAUCCACAGCCUUAUUACAGCCAUCCUUCAUGCAGCCCUUUUAUACCCAAAAUGGCAAGUGGUGUGAAAAAUGACAUAGCCUUGAUGGAGGAAGCUAGUACUGACUCUGAUAGCAGUUCAAGCAGUAUAGAGCCAAAGGAAAAUAGUUAGCUAGUUUCAAAAAUUGACCAUGGUAUAUUAUGUGUACUUUAUGUAAAUUCUCAAUCGCUGGUGCAUUCUGAUGCAUGUAAUUUUGGACUUCCUUUAAUAUUCUCAGUGAACAUGUUACUUUUGCUUACAUUUUUUGUCUACAGUGACUAAGGCAAUCAGCACCUUCCUCAUUGAAUGUUGAAUAAACACGAAUCAAAUGGUUUAUAGUAGAAACAAAACAUAAUUUUGAAAUUACUUUUCUCACACUAUGCUUUUACGUGAUGGUAGGAACAGACUUGAUGUGAAAAAAUCGAAAGUGAUAGAAACAGGUUUUGAAUACUUGGGCAUUUUAUAAAACAAAACAAUUUCAUGGAAGUCAACAAUCCGUUUCUAAGUUUGUACUAGUUUAAUAAUGCAACUCAAGGGAAAUGUUCUUGAGAGUAAUUUUCUUUAGUUUUCGGUGAUGUUCCCCAUAGUAUUUACCAUAUAAAGGAAGACAGGACCUUCAAUGGCCCUAUCUGUAUGUCUUGAUCUGAAUAGAACCAGAUGGACGCGUGUAUGAGAGAGAGAGAGAGAGAGAGUAUCUACUCCUAACUUCUAAGAAAUCCAUUUUUUUUUCUUUGUUUUUUUGUCCGAACUACAUUAUUUAACCCUCUACCUACCACUGGAUUACGUAGGGUAUGAUAUGCUAUAUUGCUAACAGAAGAGAAUCUUAUCCUUUCAAUUUUAUCCCUUUUCUUUAAUAUAUUAUUUUUCUUUCCUUGGUGUGACCUGCGGGGCACUUUGAUGUACCAUUUUUAACUUGUUUUACAAAAAGGGUAGGGUAGAGGGGUUGAUUCAUUCAUUCCAUUUUAUAAAUACUAUAUAUCCCAAAUGUAAUUUAUAUGUGGUCCUGACAUCCAUGAGGGAUGCCUCUUGCUCCAUAUAUCAAAAUGAGCAAUAAUUACCAUCAAAAGAAGAUGCUUGCAAAGCAUGGAUAACCAUCAUCAUUGCAAUCCAUGCAUCAUACAUAGAUCAACCACCAUCCAUACAUACAUACAUACAUCCUAAAAUUUAACAUCACCACUAUGACAAACCUACAUCAGAAAACAGUGCAUACCAGACAUGAAAUGAAAAAAAAACAUAUUAUUUCUGCAAAUCUCAAACUCUUCUAAUCCAGCAUAACAAUGAAGGGAUAGAAAAAAGUUUGAGGCACGGUAGUUUUUUCCCAAAAGCUAAGGUUG